GACGAACGCUGGCGGCGUGCCUAACACAUGCAAGUCGAACGCACAGUUUAUACCGUCGCUUGCUACACCAUAGACUGUGAGUUGCGAACGGGUGAGUAACGCGUAUGUAACCUGCCUGGGAGCGGGGGGUAAGGAUUGGAAACGAAAUCUAAUACACCAUAAUAUUGAUUAUUGCAUGGUAAUUCAUUGAAAGGGGCAAUUGCACCACUACCAGCGGGACCGGUGGUGGAUUAGCUAGUAGGUGAGGUAAACGCGCACCUAGGCGACGAUACAGAGCCGAGCUGAGAAGGUGAGUGGCCAACAUGGGACGGGGACCCGGGUCAGGAUCCCACGGGAGGGAGCCGUAGGGAAACUUCGGCAAUGGACGAAAGUCUGACCGCGCAACGACGGGUGAGGGAAGAAGGUUUUCGGAUUGGAAAGCUCUGUUGUAAGGGAAGAAAGGGUGGGAGAGUGGAAAGUUCACACUGUGACGGUAUCUUACCAGAAAGGGACGGCUAACUACGUG
Molecule: ribosomal RNA, 505 nt
Filed under: uncultured bacterium
Lineage: Bacteria
Description: partial 16S ribosomal RNA
Rfam family: Bacterial small subunit ribosomal RNA
Source: RNAcentral